AAUAAAAUUUCAUUCUCCUUAAUAAAGUAAUAAAUUUAAGAAUGCAAGGCGUAGGUUACGCCUUCUACCGCCCUCUGUCGGAAAUCGGCAGGAAGUCAUCGACCGUGAGCUGUCUGAUCCUGAUCGGUUUCUUGCGCCAUCUAGCGUGGGAUAGCUGCACUCUUGUAUUCCUCUAUGGACUUACGUGGAUCAUAGUUGCCAUAUUGAAAAAUAGAAGUAAAUCGUCAUCGGGCGUUUGCCUUCCUUCCUUUUAUUCGUAACCAGACUUAAUUAUGGGUUUUUUUUUAAGCUCCGCGUUAAUCGCGAAGAGUUUAGUAUUAUAUUUUAUUGUUGACUUAAUUUCCAUUGAACGUCCGGAGCCGGCUGUUUGCGGUGCGAGCCGAUUUAGGCUUGGCAACACUAGUCCCGUCCAAAAUGGCGAAUGAGAUGGGAUUUCUUUUUGCCGGAGAGAGAGAUGAAGGGAUAUCGUUGGCCCAGGCCAAAAUCGGGCGCAAUCGCCCGUUUGAGUGAGUUUCAAUAGUGAUUCGGUUGUGUAUUUCUUUUUAGUUGGUUAGUUUCUAACGAAGCGUUGCAUAUUUUCCAGCCCCGGAAUCGGACGUGAAUAAAACCAUGUUCUGAUGGUGAUAGGCGACGCCCAGCGUGCCCGGAUGUCGAAAUAGGUGCAAUUUUGCCCUCUGCUGGCCCUUUCUCCAUCAACGGGUUCACGCCGCGUCGCCUAAACCUCGCGCCGGCCGCGAGAGGUUCCCCUGGUAUCCCGGUAACUUGUGGGCAGCAGAUUGCUGCUGUUCUACCUACUCCCGACGUUUCACCCCAAGGCUGCUGACGUGGCAGUUGUGGUGUUUCGAGGUCAGAUCUUUCCACGUUUACUUAUUGACUGAAUGAACCGGCCUUUCGGUUCUGGCGCCCUUCCGUGUAACUACCUUAAUAUAUAUUGACCGCUGUAUCCGUUUCUACCAGUAAUGAUAAUUUAGAGCUCGCUGACCCACGUUUGUUCCCUUAAAAUAUAAACUCAACAUUAUUGUUCUCGUGAGCUAGCCCUCGGCAAACAAUUGUUACCGUGUAUCUAGGAUAACAAAUUAGCAUAAACAAUUUAGAUUUUUUUUCCUGAAUUCAAUAAAUACCUGGUUCCUCUUCAA
Long non-coding RNA from Leguminivora glycinivorella, 1136 nucleotides. RefSeq lists it as uncharacterized. The transcript is spliced from 2 exons. The record is from RefSeq and is a predicted model, not a curated record. NCBI's taxonomy places the organism in Eukaryota, Metazoa, Arthropoda, Insecta, Lepidoptera, Tortricidae.